This 270-nucleotide ribosomal RNA is filed under the name uncultured prokaryote. RNAcentral's name for it is "partial 16S ribosomal RNA". It matches the Rfam family "Bacterial small subunit ribosomal RNA", at positions 524 to 792 of the family's 1533-position model. The record is from RNAcentral.
UACGUAGGUGGCAAGCGUUAUCCGGAAUUAUUGGGCGUAAAGAGCGCGCAGGUGGUUGAUUAAGUCUGAUGUGAAAGCCCACGGCUUAACCGUGGAGGGUCAUUGGAAACUGGUCGACUUGAGUGCAGAAGAGGGGAAGUGGAAUUCCAUGUGUAGCGGUGAAAUGCGUAGAGAUAUGGAGGAACACCAGUGGCGAAGGCGGCUUCCUGGUCUGUAACUGACACUGAGGCGCGAAAGCGUGGGGAGCAAACAGGAUUAGAUACCCCGGUA